UACGUAGGGGGCGAGCGUUAUUCGGAAUUACUGGGUGUAAAGGGUAUGUAGGCGGCCCUUCAAGUCGCGUGUCAAAGUCCAGUGCUCAACGCUGGGUGUGCGCGCGAUACUGACGGGCUUGAGGGCUGGAGAGGUGAGCGGAAUUCCCGGUGUAGUGGUAAAAUACGUAGAGAUCGGGAGGAACACCAGCGGCGCAGGCGGCUCACUAGACAGUUUCUGACGCUAAGAUACGAAAGCGUGGGGAGCAAACAGG
Molecule: ribosomal RNA, 253 nt
Filed under: uncultured bacterium
Lineage: Bacteria
Description: partial 16S ribosomal RNA
Rfam family: Bacterial small subunit ribosomal RNA
Source: RNAcentral